GUUUCCGUGGUGUAGUGGUCAUCACGUGCGCCUCACACGCGCAAGGUCCCCGGUUCGAUCCCGGGCGGAAACA
RNAcentral lists this transfer RNA (73 nucleotides) under Ixodes scapularis (black-legged tick). RNAcentral's name for it is "tRNA-Val". The record is from RNAcentral. Lineage: Eukaryota; Metazoa; Arthropoda; Arachnida; Ixodida; Ixodidae.